ACAAAGUAGAACAACCGGAAGGUUGUUCUACU
This 32-nucleotide ribosomal RNA is filed under the name Gammarus benignus. Its description in RNAcentral is "partial 12S ribosomal RNA". Lineage: Eukaryota; Metazoa; Arthropoda; Malacostraca; Amphipoda; Gammaridae. The record is from RNAcentral.